This 740-nucleotide ribosomal RNA is filed under the name uncultured bacterium. RNAcentral describes it as "bacterial SSU rRNA". It matches the Rfam family "Bacterial small subunit ribosomal RNA", at positions 48 to 756 of the family's 1533-position model. The record is from RNAcentral.
GCUAUACAUGCAGUCGAGCGAGCCGAACUAAUUGACUACCUUCGGGUAUGAAGUUAGGGAAGCGAGCGGCGGAUGGGUGAGUAACACGUGGGUAACCUACCCUAUAGUCUGGGAUACCACUUGGAAACAGGUGCUAAUACCGGAUAAAAGGAGAGAUCACAUGAUUUCUUUUUGAAAGGCGGCGUAAGCUGUCGCUAAAGGAUGGACCCGCGGUGCAUUAGCUAGUUGGUAAGGUAACGGCUUACCAAGGCAACGAUGCAUAGCCGAGUUGAGAGACUGAUCGGCCACAUUGGGACUGAGACACGGCCCAAACUCCUACGGGAGGCAGCAGUAGGGAAUCUUCCACAAUGGACGCAAGUCUGAUGGAGCAACGCCGCGUGAGUGAAGAAGGUUUUCGGAUCGUAAAGCUCUGUUGUUGGUGAAGAAAGAUAGUGAGAGUAACUGCUCAUUAUUUGCCGGUAAUCAACCAGAAAGUCACGGCUAACUACGUGCCAGCAGCCGCGGUAAUACGUAGGUGGCAAGCGUUGUCCGGACUUAUUGGGCGUAAAGCGAGCGCAGGCGGAAAGAUAAGUCAGAUGUGAAAGCCCUCGGCUUAACCGAGGAAUAGCAUCGGAAACUGUCUUUCUUGAGUGCAGAAGAGGAGAGUGGAACUCCAUGUGUAGCGGUGGAAUGCGUAGAUAUAUGGAAGAACACCAGUGGCGGAGGCGGCUCUCUGGUCUGUAACUGACGCUGAGGCUCGA